GUUUGAUCCUAGCUCAGAACGAACGCUGGCGGUGCUCCUUACACAUGCAAGUCGAGCGAAGUUAAUAACUUAGCGGCAAAACGGGUGAGUAAUACAUAGGAAAGUGCAUUUUAAUUUGGGAUAGCUUUUGGAAACGAAAAUUAAUACCGAAUAAAUUACGAAAGUAAAAAGAAGAAAUUCGUUAAAAUAUCUGCCUAUGUCAGGAUUUGUUGUUGGUGGGGUAAUGGCCUACCAAGCUUAUAUUCUGUAGUUGGUCUGAGAGGAUGAUCAGCCACAUUGGGACUGAGAUACGGCCCAAACUCCUUCGGGAGGCAGCAGUGGGGAAUAUUGGACAAUGGAGGAAACUCUGAUCCAGAGACACCGCGUGAGUGAAGAAUGCCUUAAUUGGUUGUAAAGCUCUUUUAGUAAAAGAAAUGAUGAUUUUUUACUAGAAAAAGUAACCGGCUAACUACUGUGCCAGCAGCCGCGGUAAUACAGAGGGUACGAGCG
RNAcentral lists this ribosomal RNA (489 nucleotides) under uncultured bacterium. Its description in RNAcentral is "bacterial SSU rRNA". It matches the Rfam family "Bacterial small subunit ribosomal RNA", at positions 11 to 540 of the family's 1533-position model. The record is from RNAcentral.